Long non-coding RNA from Cryptotermes secundus, 311 nucleotides. RefSeq lists it as uncharacterized. The transcript is spliced from 3 exons. The record is from RefSeq and is a predicted model, not a curated record. Lineage: Eukaryota; Metazoa; Arthropoda; Insecta; Blattodea; Kalotermitidae.
GGGAAUUGGCCGUGUUUGUUGUGUUUCUCUGUUUUUUUGUUUAUUUUAUGACAGUGACGUACGUGUUUUGUUUUAUGAUCAGUAAUUAUAGUGAGUUAUCAAUUCGUUAUAAUUAAAUGUGGUCGAGAGCUUUUGGGAGAUUUGUAAGGUUAGGGACGUGAUUUUCCUCGAGAUAUCAGUGUGGGACAAGAGAUCAAUAAGGAAAACACCACCUCUACCUACCAGUCACGUGGCGUGUUGUCAGAACCUGAUCUGCAUCUUGGGCUGGGGUGAAGCCUUCUUCAAUAAGCAAGCAGUCAGCGGAAAGGAGG